UGUUUGAAGGAGUGUGAGGCCCUCCGGCUUCAAAACCUAAAGCAUAAUUCUGCAACAGUCAGUACUCGGCUAAACGUGAAAUUUUGUCGACAGGACUACCUAGGGAACAGAAAACAAGAAGCAGGAAGGACUGCCAACUGUCAAUAUGGUACGGGAAUAAAAAUAGAAAUAUGUUCUGUUAUUGUUCUUUGUACAAAAUUUCGUACAAUCCAGUUGCGCAAAAAGGGCACUGUACUCUCUUAUUUCAUAAACUGGCCAUUUGGCCUAUAUGAAUCCUUGUUAUAAAGGGAAAUUAGGAUAUAGGUCAGUGAAAAUUUUCAGAGUCCCAGAAGAUGUAACUAGGUGUAUCACUGCCUUGUAAGUAUGGCCUUUGGAGCUAUGUAUCAAGCGCAUUUGUCUGUAACGUA
Hordeum vulgare subsp. vulgare (domesticated barley) is the source of this 407-nucleotide long non-coding RNA. RefSeq lists it as uncharacterized. The transcript is spliced from 2 exons. NCBI's taxonomy places the organism in Eukaryota, Viridiplantae, Streptophyta, Magnoliopsida, Poales, Poaceae. The record is from RefSeq and is a predicted model, not a curated record.